This 30-nucleotide non-coding RNA is filed under the name Rattus norvegicus (Norway rat). Lineage: Eukaryota; Metazoa; Chordata; Mammalia; Rodentia; Muridae. The record is from RNAcentral.
UAGGUGGGAAACCAUAAUAGCCAACACUCA